This 588-nucleotide long non-coding RNA is filed under the name Lynx pardinus (Iberian lynx). Lineage: Eukaryota; Metazoa; Chordata; Mammalia; Carnivora; Felidae. The record is from RNAcentral.
UAAGGCUUUACUGGGGAUCAGGCUGGGCUGGGCAGGGACACCCUGGGGGAACCAGGAGUACACAUCAGGCCAUAUUGGGCUUCAGGGCAGUGCCGGGGAGCUCGGGGCUGAGCACUACAGACCAGGAGCCAGUCAGGCUCCUGAAAGUAGAGCAACCACCGAGGGAAGAACAGUCUGGCUGGCUCUAGCACAGGAGGGCUGACAUUGGUGGGGAAGGGAAUGUGCCAAAGUGGAGAGCCGGUGUCAAAGGGCCUGGAUGAAAACGGAACAGGGAGAGGGAAAAGGGGGGCGCCAAUAAGGUAUUUCAUGGGGACAGAGGAAUGUAACAAAGGACAAGGAAGCAAGCAAGCUGUUCGGGGAGACAGGGCAGCCACAGCUCUGGCUCUUCCCUCCCAUCACCUCCCGCGUAGGCCUACUUGUUGCCCCAAAAGGCGAUCUUUAGAAACAGAGGGCCUGGGAGGAAGCGGCUGGACUUCAUGUAGGCAGAGAUCUUCUUCAGGCCCUGUGGGUGGAAAAAGAAGGCCCACCAUCAGGAUCUGCUGCCCUGCCGGGGCUCAAGCAGUCCUACUGAGGCACAUCAAGUAUGGC